GAGGGCAUAGCUCAGUGGUAGAGGUGUGCUUAGCAUGCACGAGGUCCUGGGUUCAAUUUCCUGUCCCUCCA
This 71-nucleotide transfer RNA is filed under the name Camelus bactrianus (Bactrian camel). It matches the Rfam family "tRNA". From Rfam's summary of the family: Transfer RNA (tRNA) molecules are approximately 80 nucleotides in length. Their secondary structure includes four short double-helical elements and three loops (D, anti-codon, and T loops). The record is from Rfam by way of RNAcentral. RNAcentral also lists the same sequence under 2 other names. Lineage: Eukaryota; Metazoa; Chordata; Mammalia; Artiodactyla; Camelidae.